RNAcentral lists this non-coding RNA (121 nucleotides) under Callithrix jacchus (white-tufted-ear marmoset). RNAcentral describes it as "Eukaryotic large subunit ribosomal RNA". It matches the Rfam family "Eukaryotic large subunit ribosomal RNA", at positions 813 to 954 of the family's 3401-position model. Lineage: Eukaryota; Metazoa; Chordata; Mammalia; Primates; Cebidae. The record is from Rfam by way of RNAcentral.
GACCGGAAAGAUGGUGAACUAUGCCUCUGCAGGGUGAAGGUACGUAGUGAUCCUGAUGUGCAAAUUGGUCAUCUGACCUGCUUGUAGGGACCAAAUAUUAAUCCAACCAUCUAGUAAUUAG